GAUGAACGCUGGCGGCGUGCCUAAUACAUGCAAGUCGAGCGAACAGACGCGGAGCUUGCUCCUCUGACGUUAGCGGCGGACGGGUGAGUAACACGUGGAUCACCUCCCUAUCAGACUGGGAUCACUUCGGGACACCGGAGCUAAUACCGGAUAAUAUAUUGAACCGCAUGGUUCAAUAGUGAACGACGGCUUUGCUGUCACUUAUAGAUGGAUCCGCGCCGCAUUAGCUAGUUGGUAAGGUAACGGCUUACCACGGCAACGAUGCGUAGCCGACCUGAGAGGGUGAUCGGCCACACUGGGACUGAGACGCGGUCCAGACUCCGACGGGAGGCAGCAAUAGGUAAUCUUCCGCGAAGUGCGAAAUCCUGACGGAGCAACGCCGCGUUGGUGAUGAAGGUCUUCGGAUCGUAAAACUCUGUUAGUAGUGAAGAACAAAUGUGUAAGUAACUAUGCACGUCUUGACGGUACCUACUCAGAAAGCCACGGCUAACUACGUG
Molecule: ribosomal RNA, 497 nt
Filed under: uncultured bacterium
Lineage: Bacteria
Description: partial 16S ribosomal RNA
Rfam family: Bacterial small subunit ribosomal RNA
Source: RNAcentral